AAGCGAGCCGGUGACGGUAAGCGAAUCCCAAAAAUAACGUCCCAGUUCGGAUUGUAGUCUGCAACCCGACUACAUGAAGCUGGAAUCGCUAGUAAUCGCGGAUCAGAAUGCCGCGGUGAAUACGUUCCCGGGUCUUGUACACACCGCCCGUCACACCAUGGGAAGUCGGAAAUGCCCGAAGUCUGUGACCGAACCGAGAGGGAGGAGCAGCCGAAGGCAGGUCGGAUGACUGGGGUGAAGUCGUAACAAGGUAUC
This 255-nucleotide ribosomal RNA is filed under the name uncultured bacterium. Its description in RNAcentral is "partial 16S ribosomal RNA". It matches the Rfam family "Bacterial small subunit ribosomal RNA", at positions 1247 to 1500 of the family's 1533-position model. The record is from RNAcentral.